GAUGAACGCUGGCGGCGUGCCUAAUACAUGCAAGUCGAGCGAACGGACGAGAAGCUUGCUUCUCUGAUGUUAGCGGCGGACGGGUGAGUAACACGUGGAUAACCUACCUAUAAGACUGGGAUAACUUCGGGAAACCGGAGCUAAUACCGGAUAAUAUUUUGAACCGCAUGGUUCAAAAGUGAAAGACGGUCUUGCUGUCACUUAUAGAUGGAUCCGCGCUGCAUUAGCUAGUUGGUAAGGUAACGGCUUACCAAGGCAACGAUGCAUAGCCGACCUGAGAGGGUGAUCGGCCACACUGGAACUGAGACACGGUCCAGACUCCUACGGGAGGCAGCAGUAGGGAAUCUUCCGCAAUGGGCGAAAGCCUGACGGAGCAACGCCGGGUGAGUGAUGAAGGUCUUCGGAUCGUAAAACUCUGUUAUUAGGGAAGAACAUAUGUGUAAGUAACUGUGCACAUCUUGACGGUACCUAAUCAGAAAGCCACGGCUAACUGCGU
Molecule: ribosomal RNA, 496 nt
Filed under: uncultured bacterium
Lineage: Bacteria
Description: partial 16S ribosomal RNA
Rfam family: Bacterial small subunit ribosomal RNA
Source: RNAcentral